Molecule: microRNA, 21 nt
Filed under: Gallus gallus (chicken)
Lineage: Eukaryota; Metazoa; Chordata; Aves; Galliformes; Phasianidae
Description: gga-miR-1757
Source: miRBase by way of RNAcentral
UCAGAGGCGGAACAGUAGGUU